UUCUGACCGUAAACGAUGCCAACUAGCGAUCCGCCGGUGGCUACCAGGCCCUGGUGGGGAGCUUCCCGGAAACGAAAGUCUUCCGGUUCCGGGGGAAGUAUGGUUGCAAAGCUGAAACUUAAAGGAAUUGACGGAAGGGCACCACCAGGAGUGGAGCCUGCGGCUUAAUUUGACUCAACACGGGAAAACUCACCCGGCCCGGACACCGUAAGGAUUGACAGAUUGAUAGCUUUUUCAUGAUUCGGUGGUUGGUGGUGCAUGGCCGUUCUUAGUUCGUGGAUCGAUUUGUCUGGUUUAUUCCGAUAACGAGCGAGACUCCAGCCUACUAACUAGUACGAGCAUUGCCUCUGUGCUCGGCACUUCUUAGAGGGAUUGACUGCGUCUAGCGGUACGAAACGGAGCAAUAACAGGUCUGUGAUGCCCUUAGAUGUCCGGGGCUGCACGCGCGCUACACUGGCAAAGGCAACGUGCUUGUCCGUCUCCGAAAGGAGCCGGUAAACCCUUGAAAAUUUGCCGUGAUUGGGAUCGGAAAUUGCAAUUAUUUUCCGUGAACGAGGAAUUCCUAGUAAGUGCGAGUCAUCAGCUCGCGUUG
This 592-nucleotide ribosomal RNA is filed under the name Mesocriconema xenoplax. Its description in RNAcentral is "SSU rRNA". It matches the Rfam family "Eukaryotic small subunit ribosomal RNA", at positions 1024 to 1643 of the family's 1831-position model. RNAcentral also lists the same sequence under 2 other names. Lineage: Eukaryota; Metazoa; Nematoda; Chromadorea; Rhabditida; Criconematidae. The record is from RNAcentral.